AUAAUCGGUCAUACUUUACAUGACUACUACAACAUUAGAAUUAAAUGGGUGUCACUGAUCCUACGUACGUACGUAGCGUCUCAGUUCCACAGACGACUGCCAUGCUGGUUUGUAUUUAUCUGUGCAUAUGUUCUGUUCUUGAUUUACAACAGGAAAUGAAGUACAUUUCUUUAUCACUAUCUUCCUUCAGUCGUACCGAAAUAGGCCUGUUUUCGAAUCUAUUUAGCGUCACGGUCAAUUAAAGAGUGUUUUUAAUCUCAACCCAUUGUCCGUGGGUUAUAAUGUUCAUUAAGCAAUUUUAAACCACAGUACAUAAAUAUAUGUGUAAAAUAUCCAAAAGUGUGUAUGUAUUGCCAGAAGUUUGUCCACAUAUAUGGGAAAUCAUGUAUCACCUGACACUAUUGCAUUGCAAUUGUGAAAUUAAUAUAAUUUCGUAAUGGUGGUCAACCCGCUUUCCACCUGGCCUGCAUUAUCCAAACCCUGCAGGGAGCAUCUCCUACACUAUUCAGGAUGAAUUGGAACAAUAUGGCUGUCAAAGGGUGAACCAAAAGUAAUCCGUACACAAACCACCCUUUCUGGAGAUCCAUCUCAAAAUUAGAAACCCUAAAGUUUCAGGGUACUUAUUAUUACCAAACUACUGUUCUAUUCGAGUAUAUACAAAAAUAAAAAUCUAUUUAUCCCA
Molecule: long non-coding RNA, 682 nt
Organism: Folsomia candida
Lineage: Eukaryota; Metazoa; Arthropoda; Collembola; Entomobryomorpha; Isotomidae
Exons: 2
Source: RefSeq, a predicted model, not a curated record